UACGGAGGGUGCGAGCGUUGUUCGGAAUUAUUGGGCGUAAAGGGCUCGUAGGCGGUCUGUCGCGUCGGGAGUGAAAACUCAGGGCUUAACCCUGAGCCUGCUUCCGAUACGGGCAGACUAGAGGUAUGCAGGGGAGAACGGAAUUCCUGGUGUAGCGGUGGAAUGCGCAGAUAUCAGGAGGAACACCGGUGGCGAAGGCGGUUCUCUGGGCAUUACCUGACGCUGAGGAGCGAAAGUGUGGGGAGCGAACAGG
Molecule: ribosomal RNA, 253 nt
Filed under: uncultured bacterium
Lineage: Bacteria
Description: partial 16S ribosomal RNA
Rfam family: Bacterial small subunit ribosomal RNA
Source: RNAcentral